UAUGUGAUCGUCUCUCGCAUAUCAAUAAGCGGAGGAAAAGAAACUAACAAGGAUUCCCCUAGUAACGGCGAGUGAAGCGGGAAGAGCUCAAAUUUGAAAUCUUAAAGGGUUUCCCUUUACGAAUUGUAGUUUAAAGAAGUGUUUUCUGUUGAGGUUUUGGUAAAAGUUCUUUGGAAUAGGACAUCAUAGAGGGUGAGAAUCCCGUAUUUGACCUUUACUUUCAACUUUGUGAUACACUUUCAAAGAGUCGGAUUGUUUGGGAAUGCAGUCCAAAAUGGGUGGUAAAUUUCAUCUAAAGCUAAAUAUUGGCGAGAGACCGAUAGCGAACAAGUACCGUGAGGGAAAGAUGAAAAGAACUUUGAAAAGAGAGUUAAACAGUACGUGAAAUCGUCAAAAGGGAAGCGUUUGACACCAGUGUUGUUUUUCUGAAAAUCAAUUAAAGAACUGUUUAUGCUAAGCUGUUUAGACUUUAUCAGCUAUCUGUUUAGUUUUGAGCCUUUUCUUUAAUGCACUUUUCAGUUAACAAGGUCAACAUCAAUUUCUUUUGCUGUAAAAAAGCUUGAGGAAGGUGGCUUGAGAUUCGUCUUAAGUGUUUAUAGCCUCUUGCCUAUGCAGUCGGAGAGAUUGAGGUCUGCAGCGUAGAUCCUUCGGGGCUAAAUGCAUUUGUGCUAAGUUAUAGCAUUUUAUAGACAACUUGUUGACUAUGAUUUGUCUUGUAGCUUACUCGCUUAUGUUAUUUUACCUACGCUUAGGAUGUUGAACGCGCACAGAGUCUC
This 776-nucleotide ribosomal RNA is filed under the name uncultured Neocallimastigales. Its description in RNAcentral is "partial large subunit ribosomal RNA". It matches the Rfam family "Eukaryotic large subunit ribosomal RNA", at positions 24 to 628 of the family's 3401-position model. The record is from RNAcentral. Lineage: Eukaryota; Fungi; Neocallimastigomycota; Neocallimastigomycetes; Neocallimastigales.